Molecule: long non-coding RNA, 612 nt
Organism: Carassius carassius (crucian carp)
Lineage: Eukaryota; Metazoa; Chordata; Actinopteri; Cypriniformes; Cyprinidae
Exons: 4
Source: RefSeq, a predicted model, not a curated record
CUGACCGUCAUCCACAGAUCCAGAAGUAUCUCAGGGAGCGUGACAUAACACAGUUCUAUGAUGUGUGGCACUUUGAGAAAGGUUUGUCUAAGAAAUUAGAUAAACGGGCAAAAAAAAGGACUGUGAAUUGCUGAGGCCGUGGCUGCGUAGCAUCAGAAGUCAUGUUUACUGGUGUGCCACUUCCUCGACAUCAGGACCAGAGAAGGUGGCUAAGUGGACUUCACUGGUCAACCACCUCCAGAAUGUGCACACACAUGACAAUCCUAUCUUUCCCAAGUGCGAACAUCCACUCAUAUCUUCAAAUAAUCAAAAGAAAUGGUUUCAACAAGGAUCGCUGGCUGUCCACAAAGUCGAACAAAUACUUUACAACAAAAGGGUGCUCAAAGAUGUGGAGAAGCUCAGUCACAGUUUCCAGACAUCUUCCCUGGAGGCUUUCCACAGCUUAAUUCUACGUUUUGCACCGAAAAAUGUAGUGUACCCUUUCAUCGGAAUGUUGUGCAGACUGUAUCUUGCUGUGCUUCAUCAUAAUGAAAAUGCCAACAGAGAACAAGCCACAACCAAGGCAGGACAGGCGGUGUACCGAUUGGUGUUGCCGAAAUAAAAAAAAGGGCA